This 490-nucleotide ribosomal RNA is filed under the name uncultured bacterium. RNAcentral's name for it is "partial 16S ribosomal RNA". It matches the Rfam family "Bacterial small subunit ribosomal RNA", at positions 28 to 507 of the family's 1533-position model. The record is from RNAcentral.
GAUGAACGCUAGCUACAGGCUUAACACAUGCCAGUCGCGGGGCAGCAUGGGGGUUGCUUGCACUCCCCGAUGGCGACCGGCGCACGGGUGAGUAACGCGUAUCCAACCUGCCCUUCACCACAGGAUAACCCGGCGAAAGUCGGACUAAUACCGUAUGUUGUCCAUUGACGGCAUCCGAUUUGGACGAAAGGUUUGGCGGUGAAGGAUGGGGAUGCGUCCGAUUAGCUGGACGGCGGGGUGACGGCCCACCGUGGCGACGAUCGGUAGGGGUUCUGAGAGGAAGGUCCCCCACACUGGAACUGAGACACGGUCCAGACUCCUACGGGAGGCAGCGGUGAGGAAUAUUGGUCAAUGGGCGUAAGCCUGAACCAGCCAAGUAGCGUGCAGGAUGACGGCCCUAUGGGUUGUAAACUGCUUUUAUGCGGGGAUAAAGUGGCCCACGUGUGGGUUUUUGCAGGUACCGCAUGAAUAAGGACCGGCUAAUUCCGUG